This 497-nucleotide ribosomal RNA is filed under the name uncultured bacterium. RNAcentral describes it as "partial 16S ribosomal RNA". It matches the Rfam family "Bacterial small subunit ribosomal RNA", at positions 28 to 507 of the family's 1533-position model. The record is from RNAcentral.
GAUGAACGCUGGCGGCGUGCCUAACACAUGCAAGUCGAGCGAACAGAUGAGGAGCUUGCUCCUCUGACGUUAGCGGCGGACGGGUGAGUAACACGUGGAUAACCUACCUAUAAGACUGGGAUAACUACGGGAAACCGGAGCUAAUACCGGAUAAUAUAUUGAACCGCAUGGUUCAAUAGUGAAAGACGGUUUUGCUGUCACUUAUAGAUGGAUCCGCGCCGCAUUAGCUAGUUGGUAAGGUAACGGCUUACCAAGGCAACGAUGCGUAGCCGACCUGAGAGGGUGAUCGGCCACACUGGAACUGAGACACGGUCCAGACUCCUACGGGAGGCAGCAGUAGGGAAUCUUCCGCAAUGGGCGAAAGCCUGACGGAGCAACGCCGCGUGAGUGAUGAAGGUCUUCGGAUCGUAAAACUCUGUUAUUAGGGAAGAACAAAUGUGUAAGUAACUAUGCACGUCUUGACGGUACCUAAUCAGAAAGCCACGGCUAACUACGUG